GAGGAGGGGAGAGCGGAAUUCAUGGUGUAGCGGUGAAAUGCGUUGAUAUCAUGAGGAACACCGGUGGCGAAGGCGGCUCUCUGGAAUCCUGCUGACGCUGAGGCGCGAAAGCCGGGGGAGCAAACAGGAUUAGAUACCCUGGUAGUCCCGGCCCUAAACGGUGCACACUGGGCGUGGGGGGUAUUCACCCCCCCCGUGCCGGAGCUAACGUGUUAAGUGUGCCGCCUGGGGAGUACGGCCGCAAGGCUAAAACUC
RNAcentral lists this ribosomal RNA (255 nucleotides) under uncultured bacterium. Its description in RNAcentral is "partial 16S ribosomal RNA". It matches the Rfam family "Bacterial small subunit ribosomal RNA", at positions 649 to 902 of the family's 1533-position model. The record is from RNAcentral.